CCCAGGUUGAGUCAACUGUUGUAUGCCC
Molecule: non-coding RNA, 28 nt
Filed under: Homo sapiens (human)
Lineage: Eukaryota; Metazoa; Chordata; Mammalia; Primates; Hominidae
Source: RNAcentral